RNAcentral lists this long non-coding RNA (976 nucleotides) under Sus scrofa (pig). The record is from RNAcentral. Lineage: Eukaryota; Metazoa; Chordata; Mammalia; Artiodactyla; Suidae.
GCUGCCCUAAAAAGAAAAAAAAAAAGUUGAUUUACAACGUCUUACCAGUUUUUGCUGUACAGCAAAGUGAUCUAGUCAUACUGAAAAUCAGAAUCAACCUCAAUGCUUGCCAGUAAAACAAUGACUGCCUAAUCUGUGAUAAAAGCACAGAAUGGAUUAGCAUGCCUUCUAUGCAAAUGUGAAAAAGAAUGAAAUGGAUUUACAUGGUUUGGAGUGGAAAGAUCUGUACAACCAAAAUGGGAAAUGUGAGUUCUGAACAAUAUCUGUAGAAUGAUAAUAGUUAACAAAAAGUCAAAAAAUUACAUUUCUCUGUGUACAUAUAAGUAUAUAUAUGUACUUUAAAAAUGGCUAGGAGGAUACCCACCUAACUGGAAACAGUAGUUAUGUCAGAUAAGAUUAGGAGGAUUAAUUAUGGAGAAUUUUGCUUUAUUUUUUUGCUAUUUAUAAGAAUACAUUCAAGUAAUUAGUAUUUAUACAACUGAAAAAUGAUAAAGCACUUAGUAUCAUAGCUGGAAUGUUGUGAGUACUUCAUAAAUGCUAGCAGUUAUUAUUACUAAGGAUAGGUGAAAACUUUUCAAAUCAGAUUCCUUCAAAUAGGUAUACAUGAGAUCCAGAAAAACCAUGGUCUUGGCGCAGCAGACCAGGUGCUUGGUGAGAGGGCCAAGCAACUAGGUGACAUAUAUAUAUAUGUUUUCUGUACAUGUGUGGAUAGAAAUGCACAGUGCAAGUGUAGGAAGUCCCUCACUCAGCUGGUAACUAUGAUAACUACUGAGGGCUCAGGACCAGAGAGGAGAUGAACUUGGCCUCAGGUCUUAUUCCACCUCAUAUAUUCUUUUAACCUUUCAUAAAUGUGCAAUAUUUUGGUACUAUUUGAAAUAAUCAAAAUUAUACUUAUGUAAUCUGUAGUUUGCUUCUAUUAUCUUCAUCCUCAUUUACUUAAAAACGUAUCCCAGCAAGGAAGAGCAAUUUGGAAAGG